GCCAUGGUGGUCUAACGGUUAGAACGCUGGCCUUGUAAUCCUGGGGUCUCGGGUUCGAUUCCCGGCGGUGCCC
Molecule: transfer RNA, 73 nt
Filed under: Zootermopsis nevadensis
Lineage: Eukaryota; Metazoa; Arthropoda; Insecta; Blattodea; Termopsidae
Rfam family: tRNA
About the family: Transfer RNA (tRNA) molecules are approximately 80 nucleotides in length. Their secondary structure includes four short double-helical elements and three loops (D, anti-codon, and T loops).
Source: Rfam by way of RNAcentral